Molecule: ribosomal RNA, 2893 nt
Filed under: metagenome
Description: bacterial LSU rRNA
Rfam family: Bacterial large subunit ribosomal RNA
Source: RNAcentral
ACUAAGCGUACACGGUGGAUGCCCUGGCAGUCAGAGGCGAUGAAGGACGUGCUAAUCUGCGAUAAGCGUCGGUAAGGUGAUAUGAACCGUUAUAACCGGCGAUUUCCGAAUGGGGAAACCCAGUGUGUUUCGACACACUAUCAUUAACUGAAUCCAUAGGUUAAUGAGGCGAACCGGGGGAACUGAAACAUCUAAGUACCCCGAGGAAAAGAAAUCAACCGAGAUUCCCCCAGUAGCGGCGAGCGAACGGGGAGCAGCCCAGAGCCUGAAUCAGUGUGUGUGUUAGUGGAAGCGUCUGGAAAGGCGCGCGAUACAGGGUGACAGCCCCGUACACAAAAAUGCACAUGCUGUGAGCUCGAUGAGUAGGGCGGGACACGUGGUAUCCUGUCUGAAUAUGGGGGGACCAUCCUCCAAGGCUAAAUACUCCUGACUGACCGAUAGUGAACCAGUACCGUGAGGGAAAGGCGAAAAGAACCCCGGCGAGGGGAGUGAAAAAGAACCUGAAACCGUGUACGUACAAGCAGUGGGAGCACGCUUAGGCGUGUGACUGCGUACCUUUUGUAUAAUGGGUCAGCGACUUAUAUUCUGUAGCAAGGUUAACCGAAUAGGGGAGCCGAAGGGAAACCGAGUCUUAACUGGGCGUUAAGUUGCAGGGUAUAGACCCGAAACCCGGUGAUCUAGCCAUGGGCAGGUUGAAGGUUGGGUAACACUAACUGGAGGACCGAACCGACUAAUGUUGAAAAAUUAGCGGAUGACUUGUGGCUGGGGGUGAAAGGCCAAUCAAACCGGGAGAUAGCUGGUUCUCCCCGAAAGCUAUUUAGGUAGCGCCUCGUGAAUUCAUCUCCGGGGGUAGAGCACUGUUUCGGCAAGGGGGUCAUCCCGACUUACCAACCCGAUGCAAACUGCGAAUACCGGAGAAUGUUAUCACGGGAGACACACGGCGGGUGCUAACGUCCGUCGUGAAGAGGGAAACAACCCAGACCGCCAGCUAAGGUCCCAAAGUCAUGGUUAAGUGGGAAACGAUGUGGGAAGGCCCAGACAGCCAGGAUGUUGGCUUAGAAGCAGCCAUCAUUUAAAGAAAGCGUAAUAGCUCACUGGUCGAGUCGGCCUGCGCGGAAGAUGUAACGGGGCUAAACCAUGCACCGAAGCUGCGGCAGCGACGCUUAUGCGUUGUUGGGUAGGGGAGCGUUCUGUAAGCCUGUGAAGGUGUGCUGUGAGGCAUGCUGGAGGUAUCAGAAGUGCGAAUGCUGACAUAAGUAACGAUAAAGCGGGUGAAAAGCCCGCUCGCCGGAAGACCAAGGGUUCCUGUCCAACGUUAAUCGGGGCAGGGUGAGUCGACCCCUAAGGCGAGGCCGAAAGGCGUAGUCGAUGGGAAACAGGUUAAUAUUCCUGUACUUGGUGUUACUGCGAAGGGGGGACGGAGAAGGCUAUGUUGGCCGGGCGACGGUUGUCCCGGUUUAAGCGUGUAGGCUGGUUUUCCAGGCAAAUCCGGAAAAUCAAGGCUGAGGCGUGAUGACGAGGCACUACGGUGCUGAAGCAACAAAUGCCCUGCUUCCAGGAAAAGCCUCUAAGCAUCAGGUAACAUCAAAUCGUACCCCAAACCGACACAGGUGGUCAGGUAGAGAAUACCAAGGCGCUUGAGAGAACUCGGGUGAAGGAACUAGGCAAAAUGGUGCCGUAACUUCGGGAGAAGGCACGCUGAUAUGUAGGUGAAGUCCCUUGCGGAUGGAGCUGAAAUCAGUCGAAGAUACCAGCUGGCUGCAACUGUUUAUUAAAAACACAGCACUGUGCAAACACGAAAGUGGACGUAUACGGUGUGACGCCUGCCCGGUGCCGGAAGGUUAAUUGAUGGGGUUAGCGCAAGCGAAGCUCUUGAUCGAAGCCCCGGUAAACGGCGGCCGUAACUAUAACGGUCCUAAGGUAGCGAAAUUCCUUGUCGGGUAAGUUCCGACCUGCACGAAUGGCGUAAUGAUGGCCAGGCUGUCUCCACCCGAGACUCAGUGAAAUUGAACUCGCUGUGAAGAUGCAGUGUACCCGCGGCAAGACGGAAAGACCCCGUGAACCUUUACUAUAGCUUGACACUGAACAUUGAGCCUUGAUGUGUAGGAUAGGUGGGAGGCUUUGAAGUGUGGACGCCAGUCUGCAUGGAGCCGACCUUGAAAUACCACCCUUUAAUGUUUGAUGUUCUAACGUUGACCCGUAAUCCGGGUUGCGGACAGUGUCUGGUGGGUAGUUUGACUGGGGCGGUCUCCUCCUAAAGAGUAACGGAGGAGCACGAAGGUUGGCUAAUCCUGGUCGGACAUCAGGAGGUUAGUGCAAUGGCAUAAGCCAGCUUGACUGCGAGCGUGACGGCGCGAGCAGGUGCGAAAGCAGGUCAUAGUGAUCCGGUGGUUCUGAAUGGAAGGGCCAUCGCUCAACGGAUAAAAGGUACUCCGGGGAUAACAGGCUGAUACCGCCCAAGAGUUCAUAUCGACGGCGGUGUUUGGCACCUCGAUGUCGGCUCAUCACAUCCUGGGGCUGAAGUAGGUCCCAAGGGUAUGGCUGUUCGCCAUUUAAAGUGGUACGCGAGCUGGGUUUAGAACGUCGUGAGACAGUUCGGUCCCUAUCUGCCGUGGGCGCUGGAGAACUGAGGGGGGCUGCUCCUAGUACGAGAGGACCGGAGUGGACGCAUCACUGGUGUUCGGGUUGUCAUGCCAAUGGCACUGCCCGGUAGCUAAAUGCGGAAGAGAUAAGUGCUGAAAGCAUCUAAGCACGAAACUUGCCCCGAGAUGAGUUCUCCCUGACCCUUUAAGGGUCCUGAAGGAACGUUGAAGACGACGACGUUGAUAGGCCGGGUGUGUAAGCGCAGCGAUGCGUUGAGCUAACCGGUACUAAUGAACCGUGAGGCUUAACC